AAUGGGGGCAACCCUGAUCUAGCCAUGCCGCGUGAGUGAUGAAGGCCCUAGGGUCGUAAAGCUCUUUCGCCUGUGAAGAUAAUGACUGUAGCAGGUAAAGAAACCCCGGCUAACUCCGUGCCAGCAGCCGCGGUAAUACGGAGGGGGUUAGCGUUGUUCGGAAUUACUGGGCGUAAAGCGCGCGUAGGCGGACACUUAAGUCAGGGGUGAAAUCCCGGGGCUCAACCCCGGAACUGCCUUUGAUACUGGGUGUCUUGAGUUCGAGAGAGGUGAGUGGAAUUCCGAGUGUAGAGGUGAAAUUCGUAGAUAUUCGGAGGAACACCAGUGGCGAAGGCGGCUCACUGGCUCGAUACUGACGCUGAGGUGCGAAAGUGUGGGGAGCAAACAGGAUU
Molecule: ribosomal RNA, 392 nt
Filed under: uncultured Gammaproteobacteria bacterium
Lineage: Bacteria; Pseudomonadati; Pseudomonadota; Gammaproteobacteria
Description: bacterial SSU rRNA
Rfam family: Bacterial small subunit ribosomal RNA
Source: RNAcentral